UACGUAGGUGGCAAGCGUUGUCCGGAUUUACUGGGCGUAAAGAGCGCGCAGGCGGUCGUUUAAGUCGAAUGUGAAAGCCCCCGGCUCAACUGGGGAGGGUCAUUCGAUACUGAUCGACUUGAAGGCAGGAGAGGGAAGUGGAAUUCCGGGUGUAGUGGUGAAAUGCGUAGAUAUCCGGAGGAACACCAGUGGCGAAGGCGACUUCCUGGCCUGUUCUUGACGCUGAGGCGCGAAAGCUGGGGGAGCAAACGGGAUUAGAAACCCCCGUAGUCC
This 273-nucleotide ribosomal RNA is filed under the name uncultured bacterium. RNAcentral's name for it is "partial 16S ribosomal RNA". It matches the Rfam family "Bacterial small subunit ribosomal RNA", at positions 524 to 796 of the family's 1533-position model. The record is from RNAcentral.